GCCCGGGUAGCUCAGCGGCAGAGCAGCUGCCUUACAAGCAGAAGGCCGGGGGUUCGAUGCCCUCUCCGGGUA
This 72-nucleotide transfer RNA is filed under the name Frankia nepalensis. It matches the Rfam family "tRNA". From Rfam's summary of the family: Transfer RNA (tRNA) molecules are approximately 80 nucleotides in length. Their secondary structure includes four short double-helical elements and three loops (D, anti-codon, and T loops). The record is from Rfam by way of RNAcentral. Lineage: Bacteria; Bacillati; Actinomycetota; Actinomycetes; Frankiales; Frankiaceae.